GGUUAAGCGACUAAGCGUACACGGUGGAUGCCCUGGCAGUCAGAGGCGAUGAAGGACGUGCUAAUCUGCGAAAAGCGUCGGUAAGGUGAUAUGAACCGUUAUAGCCGGCGAUGUCCGAAUGGGGAAACCCAGUGCAAUUCGUUGCACUAUCGUUUGAUGAAUACAUAGUCAAACGAGGCGAACCGGGGGAACUGAAACAUCUAAGUACCCCGAGGAAAAGAAAUCAACCGAGAUUCCCCCAGUAGCGGCGAGCGAACGGGGAGCAGCCCGGAGUCUGAAUCAGCUUGUGUGUUAGUGGAAGCGUCUGGAAAGUCGCAGGGUACAGGGUGAUACUCCCGUACACUAAAACACACAGGUUGUGAACUCGAAGAGUAGGGCGGGACACGUGGUAUCCUGUCUGAAUAUGGGGGGACCAUCCUCCAAGGCUAAAUACUCCUGACUGACCGAUAGUGAACCAGUACCGUGAGGGAAAGGCGAAAAGAACCCCGGCGAGGGGAGUGAAAAAGAACCUGAAACCGUGUACGUACAAGCAGUAGGAGCCUCUUUAUGGGGUGACUGCGUACCUUUUGUAUAAUGGGUCAGCGACUUAUAUUCUGUAGCAAGGUUAACCGUAUAGGGGAGCCGCAGGGAAACCGAGUCUUAACUGGGCGUUAAGUUGCAGGGUAUAGACCCGAAACCCGGUGAUCUAGCCAUGGGCAGGUUGAAGGUUGGGUAACACUAACUGGAGGACCGAACCGACUAAUGUUGAAAAAUUAGCGGAUGACUUGUGGCUGGGGGUGAAAGGCCAAUCAAACCGGGAGAUAGCUGGUUCUCCCCGAAAGCUAUUUAGGUAGCGCCUCGUGAAUUCAUCUUCGGGGGUAGAGCACUGUUUCGGCUAGGGGGUCAUCCCGACUUACCAACCCGAUGCAAACUACGAAUACCGAAGAAUGUUAUCACGGGAGACACACGGCGGGUGCUAACGUCCGUCGUGAAGAGGGAAACAACCCAGACCGCCAGCUAAGGUCCCAAAGUCAUGGUUAAGUGGGAAACGAUGUGGGAAGGCCCAGACAGCCAGGAUGUUGGCUUAGAAGCAGCCAUCAUUUAAAGAAAGCGUAAUAGCUCACUGGUCGAGUCGGCCUGCGCGGAAGAUGUAACGGGGCUAAACCAUGCACCGAAGCUGCGGCAGCGACACUAUGUGUUGUUGGGUAGGGGAGCGUUCUGUAAGCCGUUGAAGGUGGCCUGUGAGGGUUGCUGGAGGUAUCAGAAGUGCGAAUGCUGACAUAAGUAACGAUAAUGCGGGUGAAAAACCCGCACGCCGGAAGACCAAGGGUUCCUGUCCAACGUUAAUCGGGGCAGGGUGAGUCGACCCCUAAGGCGAGGCCGAAAGGCGUAGUCGAUGGGAAACAGGUUAAUAUUCCUGUACUCGGUGUUACUGCGAAGGGGGGACGGAGAAGGCUAUGUUGGCCGGGCGACGGUUGUCCCGGUUUAAGCAUGUAGGCGGAUGUUCCAGGUAAAUCCGGAACGUUACUAACGCUGAGGUGUGAUGACGAGGCACUACGGUGCUGAAGUGACAAAUGCCCUGCUUCCAGGAAAAGCCUCUAAGCAUCAGGUAACAUCAAAUCGUACCCCAAACCGACACAGGUGGUCAGGUAGAGAAUACCAAGGCGCUUGAGAGAACUCGGGUGAAGGAACUAGGCAAAAUGGUGCCGUAACUUCGGGAGAAGGCACGCUGAUAUGUAGGUGAAGUGGUUUACCCAUGGAGCUGAAAUCAGUCGAAGAUACCAGCUGGCUGCAACUGUUUAUUAAAAACACAGCACUGUGCAAACACGAAAGUGGACGUAUACGGUGUGACGCCUGCCCGGUGCCGGAAGGUUAAUUGAUGGGGUUAUCCGUAAGGAGAAGCUCUUGAUCGAAGCCCCGGUAAACGGCGGCCGUAACUAUAACGGUCCUAAGGUAGCGAAAUUCCUUGUCGGGUAAGUUCCGACCUGCACGAAUGGCGUAAUGAUGGCCAGGCUGUCUCCACCCGAGACUCAGUGAAAUUGAACUCGCUGUGAAGAUGCAGUGUACCCGCGGCAAGACGGAAAGACCCCGUGAACCUUUACUAUAGCUUGACACUGAACACUGGUCCUUGAUGUGUAGGAUAGGUGGGAGGCUUUGAAGUGUGGACGCCAGUCUGCAUGGAGCCAUCCUUGAAAUACCACCCUUUAAUGGCUGGUGUUCUAACGUGGGCCCCUAAUCGGGGUUGCGGACAGUGUCUGGUGGGUAGUUUGACUGGGGCGGUCUCCUCCUAAAGAGUAACGGAGGAGCACGAAGGUCAGCUAAUCCUGGUCGGACAUCAGGAGGUUAGUGCAAUGGCAUAAGCUGGCUUGACUGCGAGCGUGACGGCGCGAGCAGGUGCGAAAGCAGGUCAUAGUGAUCCGGUGGUUCUGAAUGGAAGGGCCAUCGCUCAACGGAUAAAAGGUACUCCGGGGAUAACAGGCUGAUACCGCCCAAGAGUUCAUAUCGACGGCGGUGUUUGGCACCUCGAUGUCGGCUCAUCACAUCCUGGGGCUGAAGUAGGUCCCAAGGGUAUGGCUGUUCGCCAUUUAAAGUGGUACGCGAGCUGGGUUUAGAACGUCGUGAGACAGUUCGGUCCCUAUCUGCCGUGGGCGCUGGAGAAUUGAGGGGGGCUGCUCCUAGUACGAGAGGACCGGAGUGGACGCAUCACUGGUGUUCGGGUUGUCAUGCCAAUGGCAUUGCCCGGUAGCUAAAUGCGGAAGAGAUAAGUGCUGAAAGCAUCUAAGCACGAAACUUGCCCCGAGAUGAGUUCUCCCUGACUCCUUGAGAGUCCUGAAGGAACGUUGAAGACGACGACGUUGAUAGGCCGGGUGUGUAAGCGCAGCGAUGCGUUGAGCUAACCGGUACUAAUGAACCGUGAGGCUUAACCUU
This 2907-nucleotide ribosomal RNA is filed under the name Klebsiella grimontii. RNAcentral's name for it is "23S ribosomal RNA". It matches the Rfam family "Bacterial large subunit ribosomal RNA". The record is from RNAcentral. Lineage: Bacteria; Pseudomonadati; Pseudomonadota; Gammaproteobacteria; Enterobacterales; Enterobacteriaceae.